RNAcentral lists this ribosomal RNA (406 nucleotides) under uncultured bacterium. Its description in RNAcentral is "partial 16S ribosomal RNA". It matches the Rfam family "Bacterial small subunit ribosomal RNA", at positions 29 to 526 of the family's 1533-position model. The record is from RNAcentral.
AUUGAACGCUGGCGGCAGGCCUAACACAUGCAAGUCGAGCGAGCGGCGGACGGGUGAGUAAUGUCUGGGAACCUGCCUGAUGGAGGGGGAUAACUACUGGAAACGGUAGCUAAUACAGCAUACCAUCAGAUGUGCCCAGAUGGGACUAGCUAGUAGGUGGGGUAAUGGCCCACCUAGGCGACGAUCCCGAGCUGGGCGGAGAGGAUGACCAGCCACACUGGAAGGGAGGCACGGUCCAGACUCCGACGUGAGGCAGCAGUGGGGAAUAUUGCACAAUGGUCGCAAGCCUGAUGCAGCCAUGCCGCGUGUAUGAAGAAGGCCUUCGGGUUGUAAAGUACUUUCAGCGAGGAGGCGUUACUCGCAGAAGAAGCACCGGCUAACUCCGUGCCAGCAGCCGCGGUAAUUC